GUGGGGAAUUUUGGACAAUGGGCGCAAGCCUGACCCAGCAAUGCCGCGUGCGGGAAGAAGGCCUUCGGGUUGUAAACUGCUUUUGUACGGAACGAAAAGGCUCUGGUUAAUACCUUGGGCUCAUGACGGUACCGUACGAAUAAGCACCGGCUAACUACGUGCCAGCAGCCGCGGUCAUACGUAGGGUGCAAGCGUUAAUCGGAAUUACUGGGCGUAAAGCGUGCGCAGGCGGUUGUGUAAGUCAGACGUGAAAGCCCCGGGCUCAACCGGGGAAUGGCGUUUGUGACUGCAGAGCUGGAGUGCGGCAGAGGGGGAUGGAAUUCCGCGUGUAGCAGUGAAAUGCGUAGAUAUGCGGAGGAACACCGAUGGCGAAGGCAAUCCCCUGGGCCUUCACUGACGCUCAUGCACGAAAGCGUGGGGAGCAAACAGGAUUAGAAACCCGGGUAGUCC
This 450-nucleotide ribosomal RNA is filed under the name uncultured bacterium. RNAcentral describes it as "partial 16S ribosomal RNA". It matches the Rfam family "Bacterial small subunit ribosomal RNA", at positions 354 to 796 of the family's 1533-position model. The record is from RNAcentral.